AACGAACGCUGGCGGCAGGCCUAACACAUGCAAGUCGAGCGAAGCCUUCGGGCUUAGCGGCGGACGGGUGAGUAACGCGUGGGAACGUGCCCUUUGCUACGGAAUAGCCCCGGGAAACUGGGAGUAAUACCGUAUGUGCCCUUCGGGGGAAAGAUUUAUCGGCAAAGGAUCGGCCCGCGUUGGAUUAGGUAGUUGGUGGGGUAAUGGCCUACCAAGCCGACGAUCCAUAGCUGGUUUGAGAGGAUGAUCAGCCACACUGGGACUGAGAUACGGCCCAGACUCCUACGGGAGGCGGCAGUGGGGAAUCUUAGACAAUGGGGGAAACCCUGAUCUAGCCAUGCCGCGUGAUCGAUGAAGGCCUUAGGGUUGUAAAGAUCUUUCAGUGGGGAAGAUAAUGACUGUACCCACAGAAGAAGCCCCGGCUAACUCCGUGCCAGCCGCCGCGGUAA
RNAcentral lists this ribosomal RNA (449 nucleotides) under uncultured bacterium. RNAcentral describes it as "partial 16S ribosomal RNA". It matches the Rfam family "Bacterial small subunit ribosomal RNA", at positions 29 to 523 of the family's 1533-position model. The record is from RNAcentral.